GGAUUGUGGCUCAGCGGUAGAGCACUUGCCUAGCAUGUGCAAGACCCUGAGAUCGAUCCUCAGCACCA
Molecule: transfer RNA, 68 nt
Filed under: Marmota monax (woodchuck)
Lineage: Eukaryota; Metazoa; Chordata; Mammalia; Rodentia; Sciuridae
Description: tRNA.Ala
Source: RNAcentral